Pelodiscus sinensis (Chinese soft-shelled turtle) is the source of this 1317-nucleotide non-coding RNA. The record is from RefSeq and is a predicted model, not a curated record. NCBI's taxonomy places the organism in Eukaryota, Metazoa, Chordata, Testudines, Trionychidae.
GAACAAUCAAAGAACAAAGAUUCCAGUGACAGUGAGUAAGAAUCUGAGAAAAUGGCUCCAUACAAAACAAAAUCUUACUAGCUGGUAUAGCCACUGUUCCUUUGACUGGGGCUGGAUAUUUCAGUACGUGAAACAGUGAAAUGUGUGAGAGAGCAUGAGACUCAGAUGCCAACCUGCAGAGGGAGAUUGUUUGUUUGGAAAAGGAAAUGAGAAACACGCUACAUUCCCCUGCAUGUGGACUUGCCCAGCCUUAUUUCUGGCCAGGAAGUUAGAGGGAUGGCCUGACUAAGAGCAGCCUUCAAGCCAGAUACCCUCAAUAGGAGGGAAGCAGCUUCCAUAUUAGCCGUUCCCUUGCUACUCCUACCACACAAUGCCCAGCUGUGGCCUCCAGCAGAAAAAGGUGUGCAUGCCCAUGUGAAACAUCAGUCAUACAAUUCACCAUCACUGCACCUCUGCAUUCAAGACUGGCAGGGUACUUUGCUGACUGACAGGACAUGGUGAAAUACCAGAAAUCUGACAGGUCCAUCUUCCUGACUCGAAAGGGUAUAGCUAUAGCAACCUUCUGAGUAAAUUGGUGUCCUCCAGUGAGCAGAAGCUCCAGCUAAUACUUUUGUAUGUAACCAAACUGGUAUAUCAACAUUUCAGUGCAAACCACAGAUCAUUUAUAUUUUAUUAUAAAGUAUGUGUUUGACCUCAUUUUGGACCAGAUCAGUAGCAUAAGGACACCUCCCCUCAACACAGGCGAUCAGCCAAUCCCUGUGAUCCAUUCACCCUUGCUCCAUUCAUGGAGGAAGAUGCUGAAAAGGAGCUGAGAUGGAAGGACAAUGUUAGUCUCACCCUCCCUGUGCUCCAGCCCACUGGAUAGGGUCAUCAUGCGAAUCUGGUCCAUCUUAAUGGCACACCACAGUCCUGGAUAGUCAGGGUGCCUAGGAGCAGAGCACAGUCCCUCGCAUGCUCCCCCUGGGUUGGUGCAGCCCUACACCGACUGCCUUCAUGCAGGGGUGUGACACAAGUACCACAAUCUGUUGAAGAUUAAAUCAGAUUAUAAAUACUCACCUGGACAGUUUGUUAGCACUCAUCUUUUCAGUGGCAGACCUCUCUGCAUUACAUGUGUGUCCUGUAUGAUGUUGCCCAGGAAUAAUGGUUUACCUGCUGCUGGUUGAGGUCUGAUCUGUGUAUUUUCAAAGAGCUUGCCUGCAUGGCAAAACCCUGACUCCCACAAUAGUCAACAAGCAGUGGCAUGGUCAAGAUCAUGUCAAUAUACAUCUGUGCUGAUCUCAAAAGACCAUGUCUGUGAAAAGAGCAGUUUAAUCUUGU